AAUAAACGAAUUUCUAUUUUUUGAUAGAAUCUUUGACUCUUCGUCUUAUUUGAAAUUUUUUUAAUUAAUAUUUUUGUUGUUAUUAUAUAAUAAAAUAUAAAUAAUACUUUCUGCGUGACUAACUUCUUUAAUUUUUUAAUAAAUUUUUUAAAUAAAACGGAUGAUCAAAUGCUCGACCUAGGAAACUCAGAAAUAUUUUUAUU
RNAcentral lists this microRNA precursor (203 nucleotides) under Oryza brachyantha (malo sina). RNAcentral's name for it is "MIR812 microRNA precursor family". It matches the Rfam family "MIR812 microRNA precursor family". The record is from Rfam by way of RNAcentral. Lineage: Eukaryota; Viridiplantae; Streptophyta; Magnoliopsida; Poales; Poaceae.